CCAAGUAUGAGCAGAAUGUGACAAGCAACACUGAGAUUGAAAAAGCAUGAAGGAUCCAGAAAACCUCAUCGUCUGUGCCAUCAGUCUUACCUGGUGGAUAACGUUCAAUGACUGGAUGGUUGUCCACCUGGAGAGUGGCAUUGCCACCACUGCGUGUGAAGCGUACAACAUGGUACUUGCCAUCAUUUACAAUGACAGCGGGCUCAUCGAUGGUGAUGUCAUCUGUCCCCACAUUGAAGAUGACACCGAUCUUUCCUUGAUCCUGCACGCAGAGAGCCAAGAAUGAAUGUGACUCAUUAAACAAAUGACACAAAGUUGUGGGCAAGACUGUCGACUACAGGGCUCCAGCACCACACCACUGCAAACACUGAGUCUGGGUCCAACACUACAGAAAUCCAAAAAUGAGGGCACAGCUUGUCCCUGAACUGAUUUCACAGAAUUGAGAAAAACGGCACAUAAUCCAAGAUGGGCCGCAUAGAUUGAAUUUAUUGAACAGGAUUAAAUCUGCAGAUUUGCAUUUGUGUAGCUUUUAACAGGAUUUUACUUUAUGCAUUGUGUAGUGCUGCGAUGCUUUUCUUGUCAGAUCAAUGAGCGCAUCAUGCAUGCUUCAUCAAGACUUGCAUGUCUCCCAAAAUCUUUUUUUUUCUGAGCAUGAAAAAUGUAUUAUUUACCAUCAUUAUCAUUCACCUGGUGUCGUCUGACUUACUGAUUACUGAUUAUCAAUAAAUCAUGAGAAUGCACUUGAAUGUGCCCAAAGCUUA
Long non-coding RNA from Amphiprion ocellaris (clown anemonefish), 761 nucleotides. RefSeq lists it as uncharacterized. The transcript has 3 exons. NCBI's taxonomy places the organism in Eukaryota, Metazoa, Chordata, Actinopteri, Pomacentridae. The record is from RefSeq and is a predicted model, not a curated record.